This 403-nucleotide ribosomal RNA is filed under the name uncultured bacterium. Its description in RNAcentral is "partial 16S ribosomal RNA". It matches the Rfam family "Bacterial small subunit ribosomal RNA", at positions 29 to 526 of the family's 1533-position model. The record is from RNAcentral.
AUUGAACGCUGGCGGCAGGCCUAACACAUGCAAGUCGAGCGAGCGGCGGACGGGUGAGUAAUGUAUGGGGACUGCCCGAUAGAGGGGGAUAACUACUGGAAACGGUGGCUAAUACCGCAUACUGUCGGAUGACCCAUAUGGGGUUGGCUAGUGAGUAAGGUAAUGGCUUACCUAGUCGACGAUCCCUAGCCGGUCUGAGAGGCUGAUCAGCCACACUGGGACGGUGACACGGCCCAGAGUCCGACGGAGGCAGCAGUGGGGCAGAGUGCACAAUGGGCGCAAGCCUGAUGCAGCCAUGCCGCGUGGAUGAAGAAGGCCCUAGGGUUGUAAAGUACUUUCAGUCUGGAGGCGGUACCGACAGAAGAAGCACCGGCUAACUCCGUGCCAGCAGCCGCGGUAAUAC